AAGGCUUUAAGUUAAUUAAACUAUUAUCCUUCAAAGUUAAAAAUAUAACUUUGUUAUAAGUCUUA
Molecule: transfer RNA, 65 nt
Filed under: Tettigades undata
Lineage: Eukaryota; Metazoa; Arthropoda; Insecta; Hemiptera; Cicadidae
Description: tRNA-Trp
Source: RNAcentral